Dermatophagoides farinae (American house dust mite) is the source of this 728-nucleotide non-coding RNA. The record is from RefSeq and is a predicted model, not a curated record. Lineage: Eukaryota; Metazoa; Arthropoda; Arachnida; Sarcoptiformes; Pyroglyphidae.
CACACAUUAUUGUCACGUUGUUAUUUGCCCUUAACGUAUACGUUAUUUUUUUCUGUUUUUUGAGAAAAAAAAGAAGAAGAUUAUCCAUUCAUUGAAUGUUUUUCAUCACUUUACAUUCAUCAUGGUUCGUUCUCUUUCUUUCAUUCACAAUCUAUCUUUGUAUAUCUAAUAAUAAUCUACUGACAAACUGAUUACCUGGUGGUCGUCAAGAUCACAAACAUACCAACAAACAACCCGAUCUUCAAUAAUAAUAAUAAUAAUAAAACAACGACGACUACGACGACAACGAAAACGACUCGUAUGGUCACAAAAUAGUCGUGUCAUUUUUUUCUGUUUAUUUUUGUAUUAUGUAAAUACAUGAAAUGGGUAAAAAAAAGAUUCAUAAUUAUAAAAACGUCAUGAUGAAUAGGAUGAUGAUAAUAAUAAAACAAAUAUGAAAAUAUAAACAAGAAGAAAAAAUUUACAACAACAAUGUGCAAUCUUUAAAGAAAUCCAAUCUUGUCAUUAUCAAUCAUCAUAACUUAUCAAAUUGUUUCCAAUUGAAAUUAUCUUUUUUUAUUGUUAACGAUGAGAAGCUACCAAUUGUAUUAUCAUCAUCAUCAACAACAAUGAUUUGUACACCAGAUAUACAGAUAUUAUUGAUAUAUAAAGCAAUAUAUCUGUUUAAUUAAAUUUUUAUAAUAGAGGUCAUUCAUUCAUUCAAAUAGUCAAACAAAAAUACGCCUGAU